RNAcentral lists this unclassified non-coding RNA (212 nucleotides) under Hevea brasiliensis (rubber tree). The record is from RNAcentral. Lineage: Eukaryota; Viridiplantae; Streptophyta; Magnoliopsida; Malpighiales; Euphorbiaceae.
AGUUUUUUAAACUGUUUGUGUUAAAAACAAAAAUAAAAUAAUAACUAAAUAAAUGAAUAAGUAUAUAAAGGUAGAGUGAGAAUAGCAGGUUGAAAGAAUCAAAGAGAAUUCCUAACAUUAGUUACCUAACUAACUUCAUUAUAUCUUAUCGACUCAAUUAGAGUUAAUCCCUAUCCUUGGUGCCAGCUACAUCAAGUCGAUGUUAAAUAAAG